This 70-nucleotide transfer RNA is filed under the name Nephrurus amyae. Its description in RNAcentral is "tRNA-Trp". The record is from RNAcentral. Lineage: Eukaryota; Metazoa; Chordata; Lepidosauria; Squamata; Carphodactylidae.
AGAAACUUAGGUUACAAAAACCAAGAGCCUUCAAAGCCCUAAAUAAGAGACCUAACCCUCUUAGUUUCUG